Long non-coding RNA from Acipenser ruthenus (sterlet), 2420 nucleotides. RefSeq lists it as uncharacterized. The record is from RefSeq and is a predicted model, not a curated record. NCBI's taxonomy places the organism in Eukaryota, Metazoa, Chordata, Actinopteri, Acipenseriformes, Acipenseridae. The transcript has 3 exons.
UGUCCCCUUUCCUCUCCAAAUGCAGUGCGUGUUAUUAAAAAAAAGGUAAUUAGUGGACAUACAAGCAGAACAGAUUUUAAAAAGCGACUGGUAACACGACCAGCUUUCAGAAAAAAAAACCCUGCAAUGAAAAUGGCCCUCUCUCUCUGUUAAUAAAGAAGAGGGUUAUUUUAUGCCCAGAUUCCUAAUCCUACCCUGAAAAUGAACAAAUCCUGCCACUCCCAUAUGGUAUAAUGUCUCAGAAAGACCAGGAGUAUUAAGAUUUACAACAGAAGUCCACUUCGUACAUAAAGUCUGCAGGAUUUGAGCAGGAAUGUUGAGUUUGGCUACCACAGCAGCAGCAGCAGCAGCAGCAGUAGCUGGGUUUCUCCUUUGAGAUGCACCAGCCAGGUCCUGUGCUGUACUCUAGCGUGCCAGCCUGCCACCACCGUCCCCACUCAGCCAGCCAUUUUCUCUUGGCACAGUCUGGGUUUGACGAAAACAACAACACCAGUGACAAGCGCAAAGAGAACAGAGCCACGCUGCGGACUAGGCAAGGAGCUGGUUUGCUGAGAAUUUCUUCGGGAUGCUGAGAGGAAACCUGGAACACAUCUUCUAACCCUUACCAUUCUCUCUCAUCUGCAGUCUGCACCCAGGUCACCUGGACUGAUUGCAUUGCAUUGGAAUGAGUCUGAACUACAACUCCAGAAGUGAUGAGGUACCAGAAAUCAACAGCAGUAACUUUUCAUCCACAGCGUCGCCUUUGAAAUACCUGUACGUUCCAAAUUGAAGUAUAAAAUACAAGCAACUACCCAAAAGAUAUUCAACAAAAAAAGAAGGGGAACAGUGACAGUCCUGCUAGUGCAAAUAAGAGGAAAUAAAAUAGAUUUCAAAACCUUGGCUAUAGCCCGUCUUAAAGUCUGUGGUGGUAAAAAUCAAUUUCCCUUUAAUUUGGUAUUGUUUUCCGCAGUGAUUAAGACGUCACCUGGGUGCUGUAUAUUGUAAUUAUGUUAUACUUUUAUAAAAUAAUUGUAGCUUUCACAUAAAGUCACAAAGAAACCUGAAUGCCUUCAUUUUGUUUCUUUGUAACCAAAUAGUCACAAAAGCACAGUGAAAUAAUGGUAAAGCAUAAGCAUUGUAAAGCACAGAGAGGUCUGGUAAAGUAUAUUUAAAAGAACAUGGCAAAGUGCAAAAAUACUGUGGUAAACAUUUAAAAGGUAAGGGCUCGAACCAGUUAAUUAGUAAUAAGCCUUCCCACCUUAACAGAAGCAACAGGACAGGCAGCCACAGUGACCCUUAGUCCACCAUGCUGUGGAUGUUUCUAGCAAGACAAUGUCUCUGCAGGACUCCCUGAGGGUCAGAAACAUUCCAGGUAGAGCACACUGUGUACUCUGAAGCAGUCAGGACAGCCAGCAGCGGCUUCAUUAAAGAAAACAGGCAGCUGUGUGAAGGAAACAGAAGGCUCCCCCAGGGGACACUGGCACCGCUGCUCCUGUAAGGGUGGACAGAACAGACACAGCCUCAUUCCAGGACCUUCCUACCACUGGACACUCCCAAAACCCUGGCAGAUCAGUGCCCACACACCUGGUGGAGCGAGCUUGUUUGAUUUCUACAGUGAGAAGCACUUUACCUUAUCGCCUUCUCAUCCCCUAUGUAUCACUGCUGGGCUCUUACUGCAUUACAUUAUUAUUAUUAUUUGUUUAUUUAGCAGGUGGGAUUUGAACUGGGGACUUCCUGGUUACAAGCCCAUUUCUUUAAAUUUAAAUAUAUAUUUAAAAAACACACUGUUGUUUCAGGCUGCAGACAAUGCUCAGAUCCUGGACAGCAGGGCAGCUGUGGGACUCAACAGCUUCCUUUGGUCUCCAUGGGGUGUUUCUCCCCUCUAACCAAAUAAGAUUCUCCAACCUUCAGAGAGAAUACCAACUUGCUUCAAGUUUACUUUGUAGACGUUUGCCCAGAGACUUUCUACCAGCUAUGUUUUCUUAAUAAGGAUCUGUUUGCCUGUUUAAUAUCCCAUUACAGUAUAAGUGCUUUUCCAAUCAUUAUUUAACAGGUAGCCUAUACUAACUUUCUGAACUUGUAGAAGCUAUCACAAUUGCAAUGGGGUUGUUUUUAGCAAGGAUUGAUUGCCCACAAAGCACAUGGAACAGCAUCCCUUAACUUUGUUUAAAUAGAAAUCACAUGUUUAGGACAAACCCUGUCACAUAGAUUGCAAGUGCACAAACAGAUCUGUAACCUGCAUAUCAGAAGUGGCCGCUUCAAAUCCCUCGUCUGCCACUGACUGACACACUGUGUGACCUUGAGCAAGUCACUUAACCUCCUUGUGCUCCAUCCUGCGGAUGAGAUGUUAAAUCAAUGUCUUAUUGUAAGUGACUCUGCAUAUAAUGCACAGUUUACAGCCUACCUCUGUAAAGCACUUUGUGAUGGUGGUCCACUAUGAA